This 913-nucleotide ribosomal RNA is filed under the name uncultured marine bacterium. RNAcentral describes it as "bacterial SSU rRNA". It matches the Rfam family "Bacterial small subunit ribosomal RNA", at positions 8 to 916 of the family's 1533-position model. The record is from RNAcentral.
AGAGUUUGAUCCUGGCUCAGAUUGAACGCUGGCGGUAGGCUUAACACAUGCAAGUCGUGCGAGAAAGUAUCUUCGGAUAUGAGUAGAGCGGCGGACGGGUGAGUAACGCGUAGGAAUCUACCUAGUAGAAGGGGAUAGCCCGGGGAAACUCGGAUUAAUACCGUAUACCUCCUUCGGGAGAAAGAAGGCCUCUCUUUGAUGCUUUCGCUAUUAGAUGAGCCUGCGUAAGAUUAGCUUGUUGGUGAGGUAAAGGCUCACCAAGGCGACGAUCUUUAGCUGGUCUGAGAGGACGAUCAGCCACAUUGGGACUGAGACACGGCCCAGACUCCUACGGGAGGCAGCAGUGGGGAAUAUUGGACAAUGGGCGCAAGCCUGAUCCAGCCAUACCGCGUGUGUGAAGAAGGCCUUCGGGUUGUAAAGCACUUUAAGCAGGGAGAAAAAGUUAUAAGUUAAUACCUUAUAGCCGUGAUGUUACCUGCAGAAUAAGCACCGGCUAAUUCCGUGCCAGCAGCCGCGGUAAUACGGAAGGUGCAAGCGUUAAUCGGAAUUACUGGGCGUAAAGCGCGCGUAGGUGGUUUGUUAAGUUGGAUGUGAAAGCCCUGGGCUCAACCUAGGAACUGCAUCCAAAACUAACUCACUAGAGUACGAUAGAGGGAGGUAGAAUUCAUAGUGUAGCGGUGGAAUGCGUAGAUAUUAUGAAGAAUACCAGUGGCGAAGGCGGCCUCCUGGAUCUGUACUGACACUGAGGUGCGAAAGCGUGGGUAGCGAACAGGAUUAGAUACCCUGGUAGUCCACGCCGUAAACGAUGACAACUAGCUGUUGGGAGACAAUGUCUUUCAGUGGCGUAGCUAACGUUUUAAGUUGUCCGCCUGGGGAGUACGGCCGCAAGGCUAAAACUCAAAGGAAUUGACGG